RNAcentral lists this ribosomal RNA (374 nucleotides) under uncultured organism. RNAcentral describes it as "partial 16S ribosomal RNA". It matches the Rfam family "Bacterial small subunit ribosomal RNA", at positions 527 to 896 of the family's 1533-position model. The record is from RNAcentral.
GUAGGUGGCAAGCGUUGUCCGGAAUUAUUGGGCGUAAAGCGCGCGCAGGCGGUUCUUUAAGUCUGAUGUGAAAGCCUACGGCUCAACCGUGGAGGGUCAUUGGAAACUGGAGAACUUGAGUACAGAAGAGGAAAGCGGAACUCCACGUGUAGCGGUGAAAUGCGUAGAGAUGUGGAGGAACACCAGUGGCGAAGGCGGCUUUCUGGUCUGUAACUGACGCUGAGGCGCGAAAGCGUGGGGAGCAAACAGGGAUUAGAUACCCUGGUAGUCCACGCCGUAAACGAUGAGUGCUAAGUGUUAGGGGGGUUUCCGCCCCCUUAGUGCUGCAGCUAACGCAUUAAGCACUCCGCCUGGGGAGUACGGCCGCAAGGCUG